Rhipicephalus sanguineus (brown dog tick) is the source of this 411-nucleotide long non-coding RNA. RefSeq lists it as uncharacterized. NCBI's taxonomy places the organism in Eukaryota, Metazoa, Arthropoda, Arachnida, Ixodida, Ixodidae. The transcript has 4 exons. The record is from RefSeq and is a predicted model, not a curated record.
UUUUUGUUCUUUAAACACGUGCUCAGACUGACCAGCGGCUGCCAUAAAAACAUCGUGUCGAAGAACGGAACACAACAGAAGUGCGUGUGUAUUCCCGGAUCACCACUCGCCUGCAAGCACCGAAAAAGCCACGAUGAAGAAGUUGGUGCUCAUACUGGUCGUCGUUCUUCUCUGCGAAUUGAUGGUGACGGAAGCUGUCCAUCCUGGCAGGGUAUCGCACGGCGUUAGAAAACCAAACCGGGGAGCUGUGAAGUGUGGUAGAAAGACCUGCCGUCCGGACCAGUACUGUGACACAAACCUGCCGACACCUACAUGUGGCCCUGAUUAAACCCGCAGCAAGGAAAAGCACACCAGAUGAAUACUGGGUGACAUGAAGCAGUUGGCCGAGUCAAUAAAGUUAUUUGUACUCUA